Molecule: ribosomal RNA, 444 nt
Filed under: uncultured bacterium
Lineage: Bacteria
Description: partial 16S ribosomal RNA
Rfam family: Bacterial small subunit ribosomal RNA
Source: RNAcentral
CCUACGGGUGGCAGCAGUGGGGAAUAUUGGACAAUGGAGGAAACUCUGAUCCAGCAAUGCCGCGUGAAUGAAGAAGGUCUUCGGUUUGUAAAGUUCUUUAGUCAGGGAAGAAGUCAAUGACGGUACCUGAAGAAUAAGCUCCGGCUAACUACGUGCCAGCAGCCGCGGUAAUACGUAGGGCGCAAGCGUUGUUCGGAAUGACUGGGCGUAAAGGGUGCGUAGGCGGUUGUAUUAGUUAGAGGUGAAAUACCCAGGGCGUAACCCGUGUGCUGCGUCUAAAACUGUAUGACUUGAGUGCAGUAGAGGUGAGCGGAAUUCCUAGUGUAGCGGUGGAAUGCGUAGAUAUUAGGAGGAACACCAGAUGCGAAGGCGGCUAACUGGACUGCAACUGACGCUGAGGCACGAAAGUGUGGGGAGCAAACAGGAUUAGAUACCCCUGUAGUC